Molecule: long non-coding RNA, 644 nt
Organism: Tetranychus urticae (two-spotted spider mite)
Lineage: Eukaryota; Metazoa; Arthropoda; Arachnida; Trombidiformes; Tetranychidae
Source: RefSeq, a predicted model, not a curated record
CAAAAGAUAUGAACAUUUUGGGUUCAAGUUUUUGUUAUUAUUAAAUGAUUGACUAAAUAAAUGUUUAAACAAUUGACUAAAUUGGUGAUUUAUUAAUUAAUCAACGUCAAAUUAAAUUGUCUUUAACAUAGGCAAACAAGCUUUCAACUAAUUCCUUGUCUUGUGGUUACAUUCCUAAGGCACAUUUACAUGCAACUCUUUCUCUACCCUUACCAUCUUUACCUUUUUUUCCCGCCUAACUUUAUAUCUCCUUUGAUGUUUGCCUGACCAACCAAUGACCACUAUCAACACCACUAGAAAACUAAGGCUUAAAAAUUUAGGCCAUCAACUGGUGAUGAUGAUGAUCGUUAUAAUACAAUAGCUCAAUAACAAUGGAUGGAAGGAGAAAAGGCUAAAACUAAAAAAGCAAAGGUAAAUUGAUCUUACUUUUAUUUUUUGGCCCUUAAGCUGCUGACCAAGAGAAAGUUGAUUUGUUAUUAAAGGGUCAAGAAGAUGUCACUAUUGUUUACCCAUCAUAAACACAUUCAAUAAAAUAAAAAGCAACUUUUCAAUUUGUUAACUAUUUUAUCACUUUCAACCUUAUAUUCAAAUACUUCUCUCCUCUCUUCAUCCAGAAUCAUCUUAACCCGAUUGUAUUCCUCCUC